GGCAGGGUGAGUCGACCCCUAAGGCGAGGCCGAAAGGCGUAGUCGAUGGGAAACAGGUUAAUAUUCCUGUACUUGGUGUUACUGCGAAGGGGGGACGGAGAAGGCUAUGUUGGCCGGGCGACGGUUGUCCCGGUUUAAGCGUGUAGGCUGGUUUUCCAGGCAAAUCCGGAAAAUCAAGGCUGAGGCGUGAUGACGAGGCACUACGGUGCUGAAGCAACAAAUGCCCUGCUUCCAGGAAAAGCCUCUAAGCAUCAGGUAACAUCAAAUCGUACCCCAAACCGACACAGGUGGUCAGGUAGAGAAUACCAAGGCGCUUGAGAGAACUCGGGUGAAGGAACUAGGCAAAAUGGUGCCGUAACUUCGGGAGAAGG
RNAcentral lists this ribosomal RNA (371 nucleotides) under Escherichia coli. RNAcentral's name for it is "partial 23S ribosomal RNA". It matches the Rfam family "Bacterial large subunit ribosomal RNA", at positions 1373 to 1746 of the family's 2925-position model. Lineage: Bacteria; Pseudomonadati; Pseudomonadota; Gammaproteobacteria; Enterobacterales; Enterobacteriaceae. The record is from RNAcentral.